UUCGUGGUGUCUGUGGCAGCCCAGCCGAUGAAUCCUGUGGCCUCAGCCACAACAUCAGCCAACCAGGCUGCCUAAACUUUUUCUGUAGACAACAGAGAGUGAGACCAUGAACAAGGCAAUCAAAACCACCUGAGUUAAGAGAGUCCUGAUGAGCCAGUGAAGGAACUUCUCCCUCUCUGCUGGAUAUGGAAAAGGCACAAUCAGUGGGUCUCUUGACCUGGCAAGAAAUUGAAGUCAGGAGACUACACAAAUGUUUGUGCUGGGAGGACAGGAUUGGAGGUGGAGUAGGAAUGGCUUCAGCUGGCAAAAGCACCACUGCUGCCAAAGCCUCAGUCCCAGGAAAGUGCUGUGAAAGCAAAGGCAAAGCUGAUCAAGUGACCAGAUAUGGUGUUGGCAGUGCAUCUCCUUGGAGCAGGGUGUUGGACUAGGUGUGUUGCCUCAUGUGCAAAAUGCAGAGGGAGCAAAAGAGAAGGCAGCCCCACUCUAGCUGCAGGUGGAGGAGGCAACAUGAUUGCCUUCUGUGCAGCUUUAUUCACCAGCAAGCUUGCAUUUAACUGCAAUUUUCGAGUGUCUCACAAAAGAUUAUCACAUGGGUCCUGAGAAAUAUCAGCAGUGAUACUGCCACUUUAUUGUGAAGAAAACAAGACAAAAAAGAAGUGAAACUGAGGGAACUGGUGUCAAGGCUUUCUGUCUCUAGUUUUAAGGGCUAUGGAAUAUGUAAUGAGGCAGCAUUCUGUUUCACCAGUCCUUAAAUCCUGAGAAAGAGAAACAGGCUGUUUGCCUUUGAAGUGAUAACAGUUGAUUCCAAAGGAUCCUUGGGCUUGUCAUUGAUAGGAGAAUGAUCUUCUUCAAAUGGAAGAACACUGUUUUGGACCUUAAGGACUUGGGAACCAAUGCUGGCAAGAGUUAGAUAUUGCUGUGCAAAGAACUUUUCCCUGGGCAUUCAGAAGGAAUUUUCAAUAGCUCUGUAUGUUUACUCCCCAAAGCAGGAAUUUCUGUCUGCUUUCUGUGGACAAAUGCUGGUGAAAGCAAAUGCCAAACCAUGGCAGCACAUUAAGGCCAGAAAAACUGCUCAAAAAACCAGAUUGUUCCUCUUCCCUUUUCUCAGUCAGUCAUCCCUAUUCUUAUGGAAACCUUCUUACAACUGCAGCAUAAGCAUUUGUAUGACUUUGUGGGGAACUAUAUUGCAAAAAUUGCACAUUUUUUCCCAGGGGCUGUUUUUCAUCUGGAUCAGUUCCUUGAUCUGGUUAACCAUGCAGCCACACAAAUAUUUGUGAUGGCACAGUACAACAGAUGAUCUGGGAGAAAUUGUGGGAGUGGGAGAAAGUGUGGAAUGCUUUAUUGGUAAUCAUGUUCACUUAAAAGAAUACCAAACUGUAGCCUAAAGAAGAAAGGAAUAGCAGUGGGAUGACACAUCUGAGAAGGGAGUUGAAGCAUGUGCAUUAUUCUUCAGAAAUGAAAACACAGCUUCAAAUAUCAAAUGGUGUCAUUACAGGGGGUGAAUAUCAGCUGACACAGCCAUUUCCAAAAGUUGCAGUCUGCAGGCAGGGAGACUGUUCAGUAUUUUGGUCUGUCUGAAACUUCACUUUGAGGGAGCUAGGAAGUAGAAGAUGCAGAUGGUGGAUCCAAAGGGCUGAAAAAGCAGUGCUGUGCAUGUAGAUGACCCUGUGCCUCCAUGUGAUCCAGAAGAUGUGAAGUGAGAGGACCCAAGAUAUAACUGAGACACAUCCAAGCUAAUUUUGAACAUGUUAACUCGGUUGCAUACGGCAAUCUAGUUAAGGAAGGAAGGAGUUAAUAAAGAAUGUUCUGUCAACAAAUCAAGAGGCUCUCAGGAUCAAAGAUGUCAGCUACACUGUGAUCUUCAUUAGAAGGGAAAGACAACAGGGAGAGGGCUGGCUCAUGCACUGAAAAGAUCUUCUAAAACUCUUUGUCUCUUCAGACCAUAAUAAUGGAACAAUGACUCUCACUGGGUAAUGGAUGCAGGAAAGUUGCUGAAUCACAUCACUGUGCAGAGUAUAUUCCUCAAAUGGCCUUUCUCUAAUGAUGGGGGAAAAAAAAGCAAAAAAGAAAGCAGCAACAAACCUGUCAAAUUAUGAACCAUAUUAUGAGGAAAAGUGUUGGAAGAUGAAAUUCUGCUCAACUUCCAGGCAAGCAAAUCUCCAUCCUGCAAUGUGCAGAGAAGCUGCUGAAAUGCUGGGACAGAGACCGAGGGAAACACUAAGAAAUUCCUGACUCCCUGUAGGGUACAAAGUGUGAACACAGAGAAGAGGGAGGAGGAAGAUGGCAGGUGUGAACCUGCAGCUCUCUUGCCCAUGCCCUGAGAGCAGCUCUGGUGCUGCUCCCUCUGUUUGCAGGGCAACUGUUCUAGCCCUUGCAUAGGGCUCUACUUCUGCAGAUAUUUUCCUCCUCUACCUUUCUAUUCCUUUCUCUCAGGGUCAUCACUUAAGGUUUUUGCUGAGGAAAAGAAGGCAGCCUGCUCCCUCUAUAGGCUUCUCUGGUUGUUGCUUUCACGAACCAGCCAUCCAGGGGAUCAGAGCUGCAUGCUUUUGAAGACUGUCAAAAACGCUGAAGACUUUGCCUCCUCAGUUGCACCAGCACUGCAAUUUGUGGCAUCGUUCUGGAAGAAGACUGUAAGACAACCCAGCAUUACUUUUCAGAUGCCAUCACACUAUUGCACCACCAGGGUGUUGCAAAGAAUGCCCAAACCUCUCAAGGCUUGGGAGUGAUAUAUUUGUUACUGUAUGCAUGAUCUCAUCUUCAAAGGAAGAUUAGCAUUAACAAACUUUAGAUGGUGGAAAGGGAGGAGUUGGUUUAAA
Molecule: long non-coding RNA, 2816 nt
Organism: Passer montanus (Eurasian tree sparrow)
Lineage: Eukaryota; Metazoa; Chordata; Aves; Passeriformes; Passeridae
Exons: 12
Source: RefSeq, a predicted model, not a curated record